Non-coding RNA from Ailuropoda melanoleuca (giant panda), 66 nucleotides. The record is from Rfam. NCBI's taxonomy places the organism in Eukaryota, Metazoa, Chordata, Mammalia, Carnivora, Ursidae.
UGGACCAGUAGUGAUGACCGGUGGUGUGUGGGUUGUGGAUGAUGAGCAAUACCUGUGAGGGUCAAC